Molecule: non-coding RNA, 528 nt
Organism: Phascolarctos cinereus (koala)
Lineage: Eukaryota; Metazoa; Chordata; Mammalia; Diprotodontia; Phascolarctidae
Source: RefSeq, a predicted model, not a curated record
CUUAGCUACUGUUGAAGUGAGAGCUCAGGAUCACGCAUCCAGCCCAUGUCAGAGGCAGCAUUUGAACCCAGGUUCCUGACCACAAGAAGAGGAAACUGAGCCCCAGAGAGGUUGCUUAACUUGCCAAAGAUCACACUCGAUUCCCACCAUGUUUUCUCACUCCAAGUUGCUAUUGACCCCUCCAGGAUCUCUUAUUGUAUCUCCAAGUUCAAGGUGCAGGAGCUCCCUAAGCCUGGUGCCAGCCUGGAGGAGCCUCAUACCGUGAGACAGAGACACUGACAGGCAGGUAUUGGACAUACGGAUGGCAGAAUGGAUGCAGAAGCACGGCCAUCACCUUCAGGGCAAGGGUAACACAUUCUAGCAGUGAGAAAGAAGAAGUGAGUCUAAUUAGGAGUCACAACAUUCAUGGCCAGCUUGAGCAGACUCAGGGGUCCUGGAUGGGAGGAGCUCCUAGUUUGGCGUCUUUCCUCUGGUUGUCUAAGUGUGUCCAAUGGCAGAUGAACAAUAAAGAUGGCUGCUCUAACACAA